GAUGAACGCUGGCGGCGUGCUUAACACAUGCAAGUCGAACGGAAAGGCUCCUGUUUGCCGGGGUACUCGAGUGGCGAACGGGUGAGUAACACGGGGGUGAUCUGCCCUGCACUUCGGGAUAAGCCUGGGAAACUGGGUCUAAUACCGGAUAGGACGAUGGUUUGGAUGCCAUUGUGGAAAGCUUUGCGGUGUGGGUUGAGCUCGCGGCGUAUCAGCUUGUUGGUGGGGUAAUGGCCUACCAAGGCGUCGGCGGGUAGCCGGCCUGAGAGGGUGUACGGCCACAAUGGGACUGAGGGACGGCGCAGAGUGCAACGGGAGGCAGUGGGGGGGAAUAUGACACAAUGAUGGCAAGUGUGUGGCGACGAUCCUGGGUGUGGAAUGACGGCCUUCGGGUGGUAAACUCCUGUCGCUAGGUACGAUGCUCAAGUGACGGUACCUGGAGAAGAAGCACCGGCUAACUACGUG
RNAcentral lists this ribosomal RNA (465 nucleotides) under uncultured bacterium. RNAcentral describes it as "partial 16S ribosomal RNA". It matches the Rfam family "Bacterial small subunit ribosomal RNA", at positions 28 to 507 of the family's 1533-position model. The record is from RNAcentral.